This 459-nucleotide ribosomal RNA is filed under the name uncultured bacterium. Its description in RNAcentral is "partial 16S ribosomal RNA". It matches the Rfam family "Bacterial small subunit ribosomal RNA", at positions 338 to 795 of the family's 1533-position model. The record is from RNAcentral.
CCUACGGGAGGCAGCAGUGAGGAAUAUUGGUCAAUGGACGAGAGUCUGAACCAGCCAAGUAGCGUGAAGGAUGACUGCCCUAUGGGUUGUAAACUUCUUUUAUAUGGGAAUAAAAUGUUCCACGUGUGGGAUUUUGUAUGUACCAUAUGAAUAAGGAUCGGCUAACUCCGUGCCAGCAGCCGCGGUAAUACGGAGGAUCCGAGCGUUAUCCGGAUUUAUUGGGUUUAAAGGGAGCGUAGGCGGACUGGAAAGUCAGCGGUAAAAUCGAGGGGCUCAACCUCUUUCCGCCGUGGAAACUGUCGGGCUUGAGGGGGCGGGAAGCAUGCGGAAUGCGUGGUGUAGCGGUGAAAUGCUUAGAUAUGACGAAGAACCCCGAUUGCGAAGGCAGCAUACCGGCGCCCGACUGACGCUGAGGCACGAAAGCGUGGGUAUCGAACAGGAUUAGAUACCCUGGUAGUC